Molecule: long non-coding RNA, 573 nt
Filed under: Populus tremula
Lineage: Eukaryota; Viridiplantae; Streptophyta; Magnoliopsida; Malpighiales; Salicaceae
Description: long non-coding RNA (PTRE_LNC003485)
Source: RNAcentral
AAGAAUUGUAUAUGUAAUUGAAGUUUUAAUCCAUCUGACUCAAACCCUAUUCAAAAUUUAAAUUGCUUAGUUAGUACCUCAAACUUGUUUCAUAUGACACCUAUUAGAUCCAAAAAAAACUAUUGAACCCAAUUAAACACUUCAGAGUCUCUUCAACCCUAAUUCAAACAUUAUAAAGUUUAUUGAUUGAAAUAAAUUAAAAAAUUUCACAUCAUUAAGCAUGAAAAGGAAAAAGCAACAUAAUAAUUUCAAAGUAUGUGUAUUAAAUUAUUCCACAAAAUUGUUGAUGCAUAUUCAAUUUAAAUUCUUAUUUGAUUUCAACUUUUGAAAGAAAUAUUAAAAAUUAUAUCAUAUGAUUUCAUAAUUUGAUCAAAAUUUAAAUUGCUUAGUUAGUACCUCAAACUUGUUUCAUAUGACACCUAUUAGAUCCAAAAAAAACUAUUGAACCCAAUUAAACACUUCAGAGUCUCUUCAACCCUAAUUCAAACAUUAUAAAGUUUAUUGAUUGAAAUAAAUUAAAAAAUUUCACAUCAUUAAGCAUGAAAAGGAAAAAGCAACAUAAUAAUUUCAAAG